AUGCCUGGCAGUUCCCUACUCUCACAUGGGGAGACCCCACACUACCAUCGGCGCUACGGCGUUUCACUUCUGAGUUCGGCAUGGGGUCAGGUGGGACCACCGCGCUAUCGCCGCCAGGCA
Molecule: ribosomal RNA, 120 nt
Filed under: Pectobacterium atrosepticum SCRI1043
Lineage: Bacteria; Pseudomonadati; Pseudomonadota; Gammaproteobacteria; Enterobacterales; Pectobacteriaceae
Source: RNAcentral